Molecule: long non-coding RNA, 232 nt
Organism: Sitodiplosis mosellana (orange wheat blossom midge)
Lineage: Eukaryota; Metazoa; Arthropoda; Insecta; Diptera; Cecidomyiidae
Exons: 2
Source: RefSeq, a predicted model, not a curated record
GCCGAAAAUUGAGAUUGCCGCAGAUCAGUUUUAUCGUGAGAGAGAAGAAAAAAAGUGAUUUUUUUUUGUUCGAACUUACCCACUACAUUCAGCAGCGCCAGUAGCUCGCAUACGUAAUAUCGAUAUGCCCACCAAUUGUGAUGCCGAUGUCGAGAUCGAGCAUUAGCGCGUGUAUUUUUCCACCCUCCCAUGAUUUCCAUAACCAUCGCGGAGUAUAAAACAAUAUCGCCUG